AUUGAACGCUGGCGGCAUGCCUUACACAUGCAAGUCGAACGGCAGCACGGGUGCUUGCACCUGGUGGCGAGUGGCGAACGGGUGAGUAAUACAUCGGAACGUACCUUAUCGUGGGGGAUAACGCAGCGAAAGCUGUGGUAAUACCGCAUACGCCCUGAGGGGGAAAGCGGGGGAUCGAAAGACCUCGCGCGAUUAGAGCGGCCGAUGCCUGAUUAGCUUGUUGGUGGGGUAAAAGCCCACCAAGGCGACGAUCAGUAGCUGGUCUGAGAGGACGAUCAGCCACACUGGGACUGAGACACGGCCCAGACUCCGACGGGGGGCAGCAGUGGGGAAUUUUGGACAAUGGGGGCAACCCUGAUCCAGCAAUGCCGCGUGAGUGAAGAAGGCCUUCGGGUUGUAAAGCUCUUUUGUCAGGGAAGAAACACCGGCUCUAACACAGUCCGGGAAUGACGGUACCUGAAGAAUAAGCACCGGCUAACUACGUGCCAGCCGCCGCGGUAA
RNAcentral lists this ribosomal RNA (501 nucleotides) under uncultured bacterium. RNAcentral's name for it is "partial 16S ribosomal RNA". It matches the Rfam family "Bacterial small subunit ribosomal RNA", at positions 29 to 523 of the family's 1533-position model. The record is from RNAcentral.